This 90-nucleotide microRNA precursor is filed under the name Patiria miniata (bat star). Its description in RNAcentral is "microRNA pmi-mir-2001 precursor". Lineage: Eukaryota; Metazoa; Echinodermata; Asteroidea; Valvatida; Asterinidae. The record is from miRBase by way of RNAcentral.
AUUGUCAGUUUCGUUUAUGUGACCGUUACAAUGGGCAUGUUAUAUCCUAAAAAUGCCCGCUGCAACGUUCACAACAACGGGCAUGACCAG